GGGCCAGGAACCUGGGAGCGGCUUAGCCGGGUGGUUCCGGCUCGGGGUGUCUCACGAGGCUACAGUCAGCCGGAGCAGCAGAAGAACGUGACACUGGCCAUGGCCGUGUUCACCAUCCUCGCCUCCAUCUACUUCUUCAACAAGGCACAGAAAUGAGGACACACAGGACAGCCUCCUCCAGGAGCUCUGCCUCUGCCCCAGCCAUGACUCUGGCGUCUGAGACCAAAUAAAUGUGAUCACAUCGGCAAA
Long non-coding RNA from Pteropus alecto (black flying fox), 249 nucleotides. RefSeq lists it as uncharacterized. NCBI's taxonomy places the organism in Eukaryota, Metazoa, Chordata, Mammalia, Chiroptera, Pteropodidae. The record is from RefSeq and is a predicted model, not a curated record. The transcript is spliced from 3 exons.